UACAGAGGUCUCAAGCGUUGUUCGGAUUCAUUGGGCGGAAAGGGUGCGUAGGCGGCGCGGUAAGUCGGGUGUGAAAUCUUGGAGCUUAACUCCGAAACUGCAUUCGAUACUGCCGUGCUUGAGGACUGGAGAGGAGACUGGAAUUUACGGUGUAGCGGUGAAAUGCGUAGAUAUCGUAAGGAAGACCAGUGGCGACGGCGGGUCUCUGGACAGUUCCUGACGCUGAGGCACGAAGGCCAGGGGAGCAAACGGG
Molecule: ribosomal RNA, 253 nt
Filed under: uncultured bacterium
Lineage: Bacteria
Description: partial 16S ribosomal RNA
Rfam family: Bacterial small subunit ribosomal RNA
Source: RNAcentral